This 497-nucleotide ribosomal RNA is filed under the name uncultured bacterium. RNAcentral describes it as "partial 16S ribosomal RNA". It matches the Rfam family "Bacterial small subunit ribosomal RNA", at positions 28 to 507 of the family's 1533-position model. The record is from RNAcentral.
GAUGAACGCUGGCGGCGUGCCUAAUACAUGCAAGUCGAGCGAACAGACGAGGAGCUUGCUCCUCUGACGUUAGCGGCGGACGGGUGAGUAACACGUGGAUAACCUACCUAUAAGACUGGGAUAACUUCGGGAAACCGGAGCUAAUACCGGAUAAUAUAUUGAACCGCAUGGUUCAAUAGUGAAAGACGGUUUUGCUGUCACUUAUAGAUGGAUCCGCGCCGCAUUAGCUAGUUGGUAAGGUAACGGCUUACCAAGGCAACGAUGCGUAGCCGACGUGAGAGGGUGAUCGGCCACACUGGAACUGAGCCACGGUCCAGACUCCUACGGGAGGCAGCAGUAGGGAAUCUUCCGCAAUGGGCGAAAGCCUGACGGAGCAACGCCGCGUGAGUGAUGAAGGUCUUCGGAUCGUAAAACUCUGUUAUUAGGGAAGAACAAAUGUGUAAGUAACUAUGCACGUCUUGACGGUACCUAAUCAGAAAGCCACGGCUAACUACGUG